This is a long non-coding RNA of Triticum dicoccoides, 597 nucleotides long. RefSeq lists it as uncharacterized. The record is from RefSeq and is a predicted model, not a curated record. NCBI's taxonomy places the organism in Eukaryota, Viridiplantae, Streptophyta, Magnoliopsida, Poales, Poaceae. The transcript has 3 exons.
UGCUGUGAAUCUGAAGUAUUUCUUGCUAUGUCACUUAUGAUUAAGAACCCUGUACAACUAGAUCUUGCACUGUCGCCCUUGGAUAUUGGGAAGUCUGAAGAAGCCUGUGGUUUAGCGCGUCUGGGCAUUGGAGUGGGCCAACUACCUGACGACAGGCAAGAUGGAGAUGCUCUCUGAGCAGCAGUUGCUGCGACCAUGAGCUGAGUAAGAGCCAGCAACCUCAAGGAACAAUAACCAUUCAAGAUUAAUGCACAUUUGGUUUGCCGUGGCCUGGGCGUCAUAAAAAAUGGCAAGGACGUCACUGAGGCUGCCUUGGAUGCUCUUGCCAACUAGUUGAAGGAGUAGCUGAAGCUGCAGGACAUUGUCGCGCUCCGAGAAAUCUUCAGGCUCGAUGACGAGCAGGCCGUGGCGAUCAAGCAGGGUGCCCUUGUCAACCUUGGAGUUGUUGAUGCUCUAGAUCAUGAAAGAGAGAGUAUUCAGGCCACUGAUGUGUAAGCUUCCUUCUGUUUAUACAUGACCUGUUGGGGAAGAUCAACUCUAAUGACAGCACAAUGCACUUGUUCUUGUUGUUGCUGGCCGUGAAGGCCUGUAGGGUGU